This is a long non-coding RNA of Aegilops tauschii subsp. strangulata, 437 nucleotides long. RefSeq lists it as uncharacterized. The record is from RefSeq and is a predicted model, not a curated record. Lineage: Eukaryota; Viridiplantae; Streptophyta; Magnoliopsida; Poales; Poaceae.
GUCUUAGUCGUCACUGGACCACAAUUCUUGAUAUCCUUCCAUGGACACUGGAAGUAAUAUGAGCUACAGAUAUGCAUCUCAAUGGGGGGUUAUUUCUUUCCUCAACAAGUUAUAGUAUAACAGGAGAGGGUAAUGAUGCUGACCUGUGGCUUCACCUUCCAUGGAAAACUCUGACUUGCCAGGAGGGGGUCGUCGCUUCCAGAGAUCGUCGCCCAGCCCGGUCGUCGCUUCCAGGGAUGGGGAUGCCUUCACCAAAUGAGGCAAAAUCUGGCUCGCAGAUAUGGGUCGUCCAUCUGGAAGGUUUCGGUUUUAUACAUGGAAAGAAUCCAACUUGAUAUGUGGAAGGUCUAGGCUGCAUACACGGAAAGACUACGUGAUCAUGAAUUGUGAUAUGAUUUCUACUAUACAUGGAAUACAUGUUAUGUGCAAAAGGAAAA